ACUACUGUUUCCUGUAGUGUU
Molecule: unclassified non-coding RNA, 21 nt
Filed under: Dictyostelium discoideum
Lineage: Eukaryota; Evosea; Eumycetozoa; Dictyosteliales; Dictyosteliaceae
Source: RNAcentral